AGGUUGGCGGCACGUCGGCCGGCGCCCGCGCGCUGGAACUGCGCGCCACCGGCACCGUGGUGAAGUUCGACGGCUUCCUCACCCUC
Molecule: transfer RNA, 86 nt
Filed under: Starkeya nomas
Lineage: Bacteria; Pseudomonadati; Pseudomonadota; Alphaproteobacteria; Hyphomicrobiales; Xanthobacteraceae
Description: Starkeya sp. HF14-78462 tRNA-Ser(gga)
Source: RNAcentral